GCUAACCCCUUUUUCCAGUCUCUGCUAGCUAUGUGCCUGUGUGUUAUGUGUUGUGCAAUUCGCUCAAGAUAUGCAAGGUUGGCUUGAUCUGAAUUCUAAUGGUUGUGCGUGUGUUGUGCACCAAUUUUUCUGGUGGAUCAUUGGCGGAGGAGCAAGGUAGAGUUGCCGCUCCUGAAGUUUUUGACGUAUCCGUGAGGGACAAGUGCAGCGUGAGGGACCACUAUGAACUCAUGAUGUUAUACAAAUGAAGCUAAAUGAGAUAUGACAUAUUUUCCAAGGGAGAUAUUGGAAGGGUUUCGUCUUGCUUCAGGAAUGCAGCCUCCUUUCGGUACACAGACUUAGGAAAUCAAAGCGAUGGCAAAACACUCUACUGCAAGUGUUGACUUGAGGAUAUCUCAUGAAUGUGUUAUACUCCUUGACACUCAGCCGGUAUACAGUCCAUCCAUCCUAAUUGAUAUGAUGAUGCCAGAUGGUUCAUCAGCACUUACUGUUCUUAGUGGUGAUCCAUUACCAGCAGAUCUGGCCGGUGAGAUAAUGGGAAUUCAGCCGGAGCAACUCAGAGAUGGUGCAGGGGAAUACGUUCACCAAUCUUGAUAUAUUUGGACUGACAUAUUGUAGUUCCAAACCAUACAGUCAUCUCGGCCAUUCAUUAAUACUUUACUGCUAUGAAUUACUUAUGCCUUGCUGCCUUAAGUUGUGCUAUGGUUCUUCCUUUAAAAGCUUGUAUUUAAGUGUAACCUAUCCAAUUUAAGUGUAUAUCCACUGUGUAUCUAACCCGGCUUAGUUUCUCUUUUCAUUAGCUUUCUUUCAUGAUGAGCUGUCGAGUUUGCCAGUUCCUUGCUUCUCUGGGUAACUCAGGGUGUUAUUAUGGAUCUGGUUAUAUAUUUAAGUGAUGCAUGAUCAGGAGUAAUUUUCCCUACCAUGAUUUUAGUUGUUUUUGCAUGUUCACUACAACAAGAUUCUAUUAAUAGUAAGACGGUCGGUAUGAUCCACUUUCAAUCUCCUUUGAAUAUUAGGUUUAACUCAAAAAUAAUGUAGGGAACUGUCUGCAUGGAACAAUAAACUGUACUGAAAUAUCCUUAGUACUCAAGUUGGUUCUUGAACUGUCAAAGAAACAAUAGAAGCAUUUGCGAAGGAUUUUGAUUUGUAUCUAUGCCAUAAUUUCCAAGUCUAUUCUUGACAUUGACCUAGGUUUUUUGCCAAAUCUACAGCAGAAGCAUUACUCUAUGUGGGCAGCCUCUUCCCCUGUUUUCCUUCAGUUUCUUAGCUUUCUGAGCAUCAUUUGAAAUAUGAUGGGCUUGUUUGAUUUUAUUUAGUUCAGUUAUCUUGGCAGAGCCAAAUUUAUGUUGUUGUUGACAGUACUCUGAUCAUUUUGUAUGGUCAUGUCCCCUGGCCCCUUCCCAUAUUUACUGUAUUUUCACCUUGUUUAUGUCGACCUGGUGAAUUUAUAUCAGUUUUUCUGCAUUUCAUAAUUGACACCCUUGAAGGUGCAAGGUUGUGGCUCAUAAGUCAUAACUUGAAUUAUGGUGUUUGAAUGCAUGCAUCUCUGAUAGAAAUAGAGACAUCAAACAUGUAACAGUUAGCCAUGUUUACUGAAACAUUUUAUCAAAUUAUUUUGUUUCCCCGUUCUUUGUGGAUUGGUUAGGAACGAGGAGUGCGCCUAUGCCUGGUGAUUAAAGCCUGCAGCAAAGAUGUGGCUGGCUGGUUGUUGACUACUCCCUAGCGCAGAAGAUUUCCAUGGCGUAGUUAGGCCGUGGAUGUGACCCUUCAGUAUGCCCUUCUUUCUUGUGCUCUGAUCUGUUCAUUUUCUGCCGACGCUGAGCUACAACAAGAGACUAACGUUAGUGGGAUAUCAGGUGCUUGGUCAUAAAUUCAUUAGCGUGAUAUAGUAGUCUCCACUCUAUCUCAUGAAAGGUUGUACUCUCCUAUUGGUUGUGGAAUAUAAUUUCUUCAUGAUCCUCUGCCGCAGCCAAGGAACUACAGGGCAAAUUUCUACCAUACAUCGUCUUGGCCUCUUCACACCAGCCCAGUACUAAGCAUUACCACAACGAGGAGUUCACAGCGCUGACUACGCUAGAAGUUCAUUUUCAUAAGGGACAAAGGAGACAACCUUUGUUGGUGCACGGUCUUGAAGAGGCUGGUCUCGAAGAGGUACUAACCUGCACCAGAAGAUCAAGGAGUUCACUAGGCCCUAAGGUGAUUUCAUAGGUGAUUAAAGAUCAGAUGCUUCACAUUAUCUGCAAGCUCGCGAGAUCUGCACGGAAUCAAUCGCAGAGGAAAAGAUCCUGAGAUCGACAUGAAGCAAGGACAGAACAAGGCAUGAAGAUCAACGAGCAGCCGCAUAUGAUCGUGGCGGACCUAUUGUUCAAUAUUGGCGAGAAGCCGCACCUGGUGUUCACCCAAGAUGGCAAUGAAAUGAUGGUGAGGUAGAAGGUACCCCUCUAAGACAGCCCUGAAGGGGAACAUGAUGUACCGGACGACAUGAGAUGUGCAUACUGGUGCCCAAUGCAAUCUUUCUUUGCUGACUUAUCUCUCACAUGCAAUAAAGAUUUCAGAUAUGCUUAUGUUAUGUCCCUUCUCACUAAAGAUAAAAUUGUCUGACUUAAACAAUGUAACCAAGAAACAAAUCACUGAUUCUCACAUUUGGGAGAUCCAAAAAUGUUCGAGCUUAUAAAAGAACAAAAUUUGUUGCUUCCAGUAACUAAUAAGUAUGAGAUUCAAUAGUUAUGGAGAUUUUUUUUUAUGUCAAUUGCUUCCAGUAUUUUAAUAUUGGUAGUAAAUUUUUAUUGCUUUACUAUGAAAUGAACAUUGGCACAAGUUUUACGGGCUCGUGCGCCAAUGCGCACAUCUAAAUCUAGUCUAAAGGUGUAUAUGAUGCCCCCCAUAGGGGGCCUCACAGCGCUUUGGAUUUUCGGCCGUCAGAUCGAGCUGACGUGGCGCGAUCUCAGCCGUCGAUUUCGUCCAGGGUGCGCGGCCCUCCCACGAACCCGCGUUUUAUCCACGGGUCGUGUGAAAGCCCGCGCGGCCCGUUCGCUCCGCUCUCACCUGCCUCGCACGUCCUCCUCUCCCCCUCGCGCCCCUCGCAUCGCCGCCGCCGCCGCCGCCAGCUCCCAAUCCCGUCGCCCCCUCCUCCUCCACAAUCCCCUGCAGCGCCUCCUCCUCCAAUCCUCCCGCUCAUCCUUCCCCAAUCUUCUUCCAAUGGCAGCCGGCCACCAGCCCAGGAAGCUCCUCCUCUAGGGCAGGGACGGCGAGCUCCUCUUGGGCGGGCGGCAACCGCGUGUCGUCGGACGGCGGAGAUGGCUGGGGCGGGCGGUCAGAGCAGCGUCGGUCGUCCUCCUCCACAGGCUCUACUGCCGGAGGCUGCCCCGUCGGGCGAGCAACAACAGGAUGCCAUGAGGCGAACGAUUGACGCAUGUGAGAAGCCAGGACAAGAUGUUGAGACGGAGGCGGGCUCACGAGCUGGUUGACCCCUGCAGACGCAUCCUCGACUCCGUGGUGAGCGGCGGCUGCUGCAUCUGGUUGCCGGCGCGGCUCUGGCCCCCAUCCUCUACUCCGUGUUGAGCAGUGACCGAUGCUUCUGGUCGCCCGGCGCUGCUCUGACCGUGUGGUUCAGCUGCUCCUCUCCCUCCUCGAGGUUGAGGUAAAAGUGGAGCCCAACUCCUCCUCUUUGAUUUAAUCUCUGGAACACCUCAUCUCAGAUUGUGCAGAUCCAUUUAUCUAUGCUUAGAAGGUGUUUGGUAAAAAUCCUAGGUAAGAUUAGUGUAUAUUUAUGCUCCAUCUAGCUAUUUGCAAUCUUGUAACUAGGGUACUGGAUGUUAAGGAGAGAGAUUUAUACUUCUAUCCCUUUUCAUUAACAAUAAAUAUGUUGUCCUUUAUGUUUGACUCAGCUAGUCAUGUGAAGCACAAUAAAUUUGAAGCAAAAAAAGUCUGCCUACAACUUAUCAAUGUCUUGGCCAACGAGGGCACCGAGAAGAUGUCCGGUUUCGAUUUGCUAGAGAUUUUGCCACUUCAACUAUUGUGUAAACCUUUUUGGACCUACGCGCCAAGAUCUCAUCUGCUACAAGGUUCACCAGGUUGGGCGUGCAACCUGGAGCCAACAGUGUGCUAGCUAUUGGAGAAUGUGUGGGAGGGCAUGGUGGCAUAAGUGCGAGUGCUCAGUGGUGUUAUCAUUUGGAGGCAGAUAAAUUAUUUGGUGGAUCAGUUUGCAGCAUGUACGCCUUAAUUGACCAACACUGAAAGUGCCAAAUGGAACACUACAGAGAAAUGGAACAAGUGUUUCUUAUUGACAGUCCAAAUCUUAUAAUGAAGACGAUAAUUUGAAGGGAGAUGGUGCAGCUCUAAUUACGGAUGAUUUUUGCGAAGAGGAACAAGGAUAUACUCUAAUCUGUAGCGAGAUUCUUAUUGAUGAUAUUGAUGGUGAAUCUCCGGUUGCAAGAGAGCAUAUUUGCCUUGAGGGAUGCCAAUAUAUUUCCAUCUGUAGAUGUAAGUGAUUCGUCAAAGAUGUUGUAUGUGAAGCAAUCACAAGUGCAUCAGGGGAUAUAUAUCUUAGGCCUUAUAUACUUUCCCUGCAAGAGAACAAAAAUUCCAAUAGCCUCUUUUUCAAAUGAUUUCUAAUGGCUGGCCAAUAUCAUAGAUCUUGGUUGGGAGCUAAUAUCCAAAUUCUUGUGUUAGUGCAAUGAGGUUAAUUUCCAUAUACCGUAGUUUGCUGAAAAAUUGUUUUCAUAAUAAGUGGUACAUUAAUUUCUCAUUUUCUACAGAUAAGUGUGUUUGUUUGUUUUCAAUUUUUUUGAGAAUGAGUAUCAGCUUUAAGUUGCUGUUAUUUCUACCAUUUGACUUGGAUGUGAUAGAUUAGUUUCUCAUUUCUAAGAUCCCUCUCUUCCUCCUUGAAGAAUGUCCAUUUUCGAUAUUCAUGAUUCCUGUUGUGAACAUAUUAUUUCAAGUCCUAAAGAGGAUGUUUCUCCAUCCUUAUUGUGCGAUGUGGCAAGGCAGUCUGUGAGCAUGGUAUUGCAAUGGUCAGUGGUGGCUUGCGUCGCCGUGUACUGAUUAACAUUCUCCAGCGCCUAUUAGCUGCUUCUCUCCAGCCCUGAGUAAAAUUUUAUGCUACUCAAGAUGAUUUUUUUAUCAUGGCUUUAUAGAUAUCAAAAUAUCAUCUAGAGAAAACAAUUAAUGGGCUACAUAUGUGUUUUCUCCUGUCCAUGUUCAUUUCACACCCAUUGAGCUAUCGAACAACAUGAUGAAACGUGUAGUAGGGCAUGCGCAAAUUUAUUUGGAACCAGCUAGCACCAAAUCUGAGCUAGAUGUUACUAAUAGGUUCCGAAGGAAGGUUUAACUGGAUUAUAGUCUGUUUUAUAGGAAGUGGUGCUUACUAUUUUUGUUUGGUUGUAUUUAUAAUAGUGUGAUCCCUUUAUUCUGCUAGAAACGUGAAUUUGUUGAAAACAUACUCUAUUAAAAAUAUAGUCUCCUGGGCAAGUAUAUAAUGACAUUCUUUAGUUGUUUAUAUGUUCUUUUUAUAAUCAACUUUAUUUGCAUGUUCAUGUCCCUGCUUUCUUUUAUAAAUAACUUACGCAUAGCUUUCCAUUUUUCUCCACAGGAUAAAUUGUGAAGAUGCUUGAGGUACACUAUCGCCAUCCCUUCCUAAUACCUCACUAGCGUUGUAUUCAGAGUUGGGCAGGAAGUUUGCUAUAUGAGACUACAUACAAGUUACAUGUUUUGUUCUUAAUUAUCUUUCCUCUGUAUUCAUUUUUCAUUGUUUGGGGAUCUGGGAGCAAGUUUAUCAUCUGAAACUUACUUCCAGUUAUAGAUUCUGGUCUCAUCUUACAUAUUUGUUAACACAUUUUCAGUAAAUGGGCGAUGUAUGGACAGGCAAGUUGCAUGCUUUACAUUGCGAUUGAGAUGAUAUUUUCUCUUUUAUUUUUUCUAGCACUAGAAAAUAUAACGGUUUGGCGACUAAUCAUGUUCUGUAGGGCGUGCGACUGCUUGAGCUUGAAGAAUCUUUCUUCCACCGGCAUGGUUUUUUAACAGAGUGCUUAACUUACAUUCAUUCUGACUUUACAUGCUUGAUCUAGAUGAAUUUAUGCCAAAUGAUCUACUCACUAACUCAAAUUCACGGAUAUACAUAUUCCAAUGCAUUUUAUAUUCUUCCUGUGAUCGCUUGCCUCAUCUUGCGGAUGCCUCAGUAGAUGUAUGUCUAGCUGGGAUGAAUGCUGCGAGAUUUUGAUGUGCCUGUGGUGAUGAGCUUCUGAAUGAUCAGUCAUUUUAAUUUACAAUGGAAAAUUUGGUCAUGUGUCGCGACUUUCCCAUUUACCCGUUUUGUAUUUUAUUUUCUGUUUAACUUUCGUGCUUGACCUAGGAGUACUCAGAGAAAGAUAUUAGUGUGAUGAUUGAUCCGGAAGCCAAGAUGAACCUAUAGAUUGAAUGACACUGUGGUCUUUCUGAUUGAACAUUUUUUUUGAGGUAUCCUCUAAUCACUGCCACACUCUUGCUGUCAACUCACUCUGCAUCCAUGCCUCUCACCCUAGAUAGUCCAAGUAGAGGAUAAGGAGCUGAGGUUACAAUGUGCAAAGCUCUUCUGGUUAUGACUAUUUAAUGGCCAAUACACUUCUUUUGAUGAAAUGAUCAAUAAGAGAUGAACAUACGUGAUGCUCUUAAGCAGCGACGAGUUGUUUGAGGAAAUGCCCAUAAGGGAAUAAAAUGUGAGUAUACAUGGUAAUAUUAUUAUAUUUUGUACUAGCUAUGUUUAUUCCAAUGAUUCAAGAAAUGAAAGAACAAUUGGAAUAAAAAAUAUUUGUUUUAUUUCUUUGAAAAUACUAGAAUUUUAGGAAAUAACUUGCCAUGUAUAGGUACAAUCUUACAUAGACUACAAUCUUUGUUUUACAAAAGGAUUAAAAUCCCAAAUACAAACUUGAAAUUAAUUGGUGAGGGCGAUAUUUUUUGUCUUCCUGUGACUGGCACCCCUUUCACCGGUUAUUUAAUUGUAAAAGGUAAACAAUGUUAUAUGCAUUCUUAUUUUCACUUAAGUUUUCAUAAUUAAUGAAGUGAUGGGUAAUACUAUUUUUCAUUUUAUGUGAUAAAUCACACAGCAAUCAUGUUCUAUCUUCCAGUGGACAAUGUAUAUUGUACUGCUAUGUUAUAUUUAUUGGGACAUUCGAUUUUCAUGCCAUUUUUCAGAAUCAUGGGUUAACAUGAACAUAAUAUUUUAUCAUAUUUCCAAGUUAUAGACAUAAGGCAAUCCAGCUUAAUUAUUAUUUUGUCAUUGCCAUGCUCUAGAGUACCCAAUAUUUUGAGUAAAUGAAUGCUUGCUGAAGAAAAUAAGAACAACACAUAAAUGAAUAUUUAUUGAUUUUUUUAAAUAAGUGAGUAAAUGGAUGUUUUCCUGAGGACAAUUAAUGAAUGUUUUAGGAUCUAACAUGGCUGAUAAGUUUGGCCUGCACUCUGCUUGAAGCAAUCAGGCAUGUCUUGGUCAUGGUGUGGGUGAUCGUGUUGUAUGGUUGUACAUCAGAAGAAUUUGUUUAUGAUCCGAAGUUCUAUUAAGAACUCGAGUGUUUUCUGGGUUACAGUGACGGGCUUUGGCUUGUGCCCUCUCUUAAAUAAUUUAUGUUCAAUAUAUAUGAUCCCUGCAGUUUCAGUAUAAACAACUUUUGAUGUGUUGUGGACAAGUCACGAUAUAGCUCUAUGGACAUGGACUAAAGAUUGGCAAAGGAGUGAGGUUGGAGUUAUAUGGCAGCCAGCAAGGUCAUCAAUAUCUCUGUUACUACCAUUGCCACAUUCAAUUUGCCAGAUGUGCUUUCUUAUAAUGUUACCAAGCAUAUGCCAAUUCAUUUCUCUGUCCAUAUAGUUGUGAUAAUGUCAGCAUAGCUGUUUGUUUCAGGCUCAACAUGAUAUCAGCCUCUGCUUCUAGCUUUUCUUUUUCCAGGAGUCUUAGACUUCUCAUGGAUGUAUCUUUUAUGUUCUUAACAUUCUAUGGACUAAAUAAUAUUUGUUAUUCCUUUUA
Molecule: long non-coding RNA, 7990 nt
Organism: Lolium perenne
Lineage: Eukaryota; Viridiplantae; Streptophyta; Magnoliopsida; Poales; Poaceae
Source: RefSeq, a predicted model, not a curated record